Molecule: small RNA, 83 nt
Filed under: Marmota monax (woodchuck)
Lineage: Eukaryota; Metazoa; Chordata; Mammalia; Rodentia; Sciuridae
Source: RNAcentral
GCUGGGCUUGGUGAUGCAUGCCUGUAAUCCCAGCAGUUUGGGAGGCUGAGGCAGGAAGAUUUUAAGUUUAAAGCCAGCCUCAG